CCAAAUUUUCCAAAUCAUUGUCUCCCUGACCUCCGCCAAACUCUAAGAUCGAUCUAGGUUCUGUCUUUACUUCCGGAGAAUAGUUAUCAUGGUUUUCUGGCUCUUUGAAUGUUGGGACAUUAUCCCAUCUUGAUCCAUGAUCUUGCGAUUCACUUGUAAUCUUCGAAACUUGGUUGUCCAGUUCCAGAUUACUGGCGAUCUUACUUAUGGAAAUUCUAUCUUCGAAAUUAGAGUGCAUAGCAUGUGUAGACACAUCAUCAUAUAUUUUAUUUUUCUUCGAGCAUCGUGCACCAUAUUGAAGUUCAGUCACUUCCAAAGUGUCGCUCCUAUCUUCUUUCAAAACUAAAUCAGCCUCCAAACGGCUCACUUGGGAGCAUUCCCUACUUUCAGCGAGACCUGCCUCGUGAUUGCUGCAAUCGAAUUUAGUAGUUGUUUCUUGCUGUCCUACUACUAGGUUUUUUUCUGCUUGCAAUGCUUCACUUUGAACAGUUUUUCUUUUACUUUCCAUAAUUUGAUCUACAGAAUACAGUACAGACUUUGUUUCCCACUGAAGUUCAGCUUCAUUGUCAUUGCUGACUUCUUCUUGAGAGAUAACAAAAUUAGAAAAAUUGAUAUCACUCUUUGAACUCUCAUGUACCGUUUCAUUAAGAGAUGAUACUUUGAUUGUUCUUUUUGAAUUUUCACAGUUUUCGGUGAGCUUGGAUUCUUUAGCAUCUUCCUCCAUGUUUUCCUGGAUGUUUUCAAGCCCCAAAGCAUCACUGGAGUUUCCAUAUACAUGGAAAUCAUCGUCAAGGUUUAUCUGAGUAUCUGAUAAGCACCUAGGAUCGUCCAGUACAAGACUUAGGGGUUCAAAGUCAUCAUUGAUCUCUAAGUUAUUUGACAAAUCAUCCCUCUCACUAUUUGUUCUUCCACUAUCCGCCAAACUACUGUCGCAGCUACCAUCUAGUUCGAUUCCAAUAGUGUAAUCUUUAUCUCUUGUAUCAACGAUUUCUGGACUGCCAUCUUUCCUUUCUCCAGAAUCACCUUCAGUUCCAUCAUUUCUGGUAUCUUCUUCCACUAUUACUUUUUUAUCGCUUGUCUCAAUUUUAUUACUAGAAUUCAAACCUCUUAUUCCAUUUUGUUCAGACUCUUUGAUCACUAAAACCUCAUCAUCUGAAAGUAACUCUAGAUUGUACAUUGACUUCAGGUUUAAAUUACCAAGCCUAUCCUGGCCUAUAAUGCGCUCUGAGAUUUCACAUGACUUUGGAGAAACUGUUUGAGAAGAUAUAGGCGUCUUGAUCGGAGUGAGGUGCUUUACAGG
Molecule: unclassified non-coding RNA, 1300 nt
Filed under: Athalia rosae (coleseed sawfly)
Lineage: Eukaryota; Metazoa; Arthropoda; Insecta; Hymenoptera; Athaliidae
Description: misc RNA ENSAEAG00005012965.1
Source: RNAcentral